GAGGGUAUAGCUCAGUGGUAGAGUAUAUGCCUAACAUGCAUGAGGUCUUAGGUUCAAUCCCCAGCACCACCA
This 72-nucleotide transfer RNA is filed under the name Camelus bactrianus (Bactrian camel). It matches the Rfam family "tRNA". Rfam says of the family: Transfer RNA (tRNA) molecules are approximately 80 nucleotides in length. Their secondary structure includes four short double-helical elements and three loops (D, anti-codon, and T loops). Lineage: Eukaryota; Metazoa; Chordata; Mammalia; Artiodactyla; Camelidae. RNAcentral also lists the same sequence under 1 other name. The record is from Rfam by way of RNAcentral.